This 497-nucleotide ribosomal RNA is filed under the name uncultured bacterium. RNAcentral describes it as "partial 16S ribosomal RNA". It matches the Rfam family "Bacterial small subunit ribosomal RNA", at positions 28 to 507 of the family's 1533-position model. The record is from RNAcentral.
GACGAACGCUGGCGGCGUGCCUAAUACAUGCAAGUUGAGCGCUGAAGGUUGGUACUUGUACCGACUGGAUGAGCAGCGAACGGGUGAGUAACGCGUGGGGAAUCUGCCUUUGAGCGGGGGACAACAUUUGGAAACGAAUGCUAAUACCGCAUAAAAACUUUAAACACAAGUUUUAAGUUUGAAAGAUGCAAUUGCAUCACUCGAAGAUGAUCCCGCGUUGUAUUAGCUAGUUGGUGAGGUAAAGGCUCACCAAGGCGAUGAUACAUAGCCGACCUGAGAGGGUGAUCGGCCACAUUGGGACUGAGACACGGCCCAAACUCCUACGGGAGGCAGCAGUAGGGAAUCUUCGGCAAUGGACGAAAGUCUGACCGAGCAACGCCGCGUGAGUGAAGAAGGUUUUCGGAUCGUAAAACUCUGUUGGUAGAGAAGAACGUUGGUGAGAGUGGAAAGCUCAUCAAGUGACGGUAACUACCCAGAAAGGGACGGCUAACUACGUG